GCUUGCUCCUGGAUUCAGCGGCGGACGGGUGAGUAAUGCCUAGGAAUCUGCCUGGUUGUGGGGGAUAACGUCCGGAAACGGGCGCUAAUACCGCAUACGUCCUGAGGGAGAAAGUGGGGGAUCUUCGGACCUCACGCUAUCAGAUGAGCCUAGGUCGGAUUAGCUAGUUGGUGGGGUAAAGGCCUACCAAGGCGACGAUCCGUAACUGGUCUGAGAGGAUGAUCAGUCACACUGGAACUGAGACACGGUCCAGACUCCUACGGGAGGCAGCAGUGGGGAAUAUUGGACAAUGGGCGAAAGCCUGAUCCAGCCAUGCCGCGUGUGUGAAGAAGGUCUUCGGAUUGUAAAGCACUUUAAGUUGGGAGGAAGGGCAGUAAGUUAAUACCUUGCUGUUUUGACG
RNAcentral lists this ribosomal RNA (400 nucleotides) under Escherichia coli. RNAcentral describes it as "bacterial SSU rRNA". It matches the Rfam family "Bacterial small subunit ribosomal RNA", at positions 78 to 474 of the family's 1533-position model. The record is from RNAcentral. Lineage: Bacteria; Pseudomonadati; Pseudomonadota; Gammaproteobacteria; Enterobacterales; Enterobacteriaceae.